This 497-nucleotide ribosomal RNA is filed under the name uncultured bacterium. RNAcentral describes it as "partial 16S ribosomal RNA". It matches the Rfam family "Bacterial small subunit ribosomal RNA", at positions 28 to 507 of the family's 1533-position model. The record is from RNAcentral.
GAUGAACGCUGGCGGCGUGCCUAAUACAUGCAAGUCGAGCGAACAGACGAGGAGCUUGCUCCUCUGACGUUAGCGGCGGACGGGUGAGUAACACGUGGAUAACCUACCUAUAAGACUGGGAUAACUUCGGGAAACCGGAGCUAAUACCGGAUAAUAUAUUGAACCGCAUGGUUCAAUAGUGAAAGACGGUUUUGCUGUCACUUAUAGCUGGAUCCGCGCCGCAUUAGCUAGUUGGUAAGGUAACGGCUUACCAAGGCAACGAUGCGUAGCCGACCUGAGAGGGUGAUCGGCCACACGGGAACGGAGACACGGUCCAGACGCCUACGGGACGCAGCAGUAGGGAAUCUUCCGCAAUGGGCGAAAGCCUGACGGAGCAACGCCGCGUGAGUGAUGAAGGUCUUCGGAUCGUAAAACUCUGUUAUUAGGGAAGAACAAAUGUGUAAGUAACUAUGCACGUCUUGACGGUACCUAAUCAGAAAGCCACGGCUAACUACGUG